GCAUCGAUAGCUCAGUAGCAGAGCAGUGGGGUCAAGGGUGGGGCGCUAGCCCAUGCGGCCCGGGUUCGAGCCCCGGUCGAUGCA
Phthorimaea operculella (potato tuberworm) is the source of this 84-nucleotide non-coding RNA. Lineage: Eukaryota; Metazoa; Arthropoda; Insecta; Lepidoptera; Gelechiidae. The record is from the annotation of a GenBank genome assembly.